GAGGAAUAUUGGUCAAUGGACGGAAGUCUGAACCAGCCAAGUAGCGUGCAGGAUGACGGCCCUAUGGGUUGUAAACUGCUUUUGUAUGGGGAUAAAGUUAGGGACGUGUCCCUAUUUGCAGGUACCAUACGAAUAAGGACCGGCUAAUUCCGUGCCAGCAGCCGCGGUAAUACGGAAGGUCCAGGCGUUAUCCGGAUUUAUUGGGUUUAAAGGGAGCGUAGGCUGGAGAUUAAGUGUGUUGUGAAAUGUAGACGCUCAACGUCUGAAUUGCAGCGCAUACUGGUUUCCUUGAGUACGCACAACGUUGGCGGAAUUCGUCGUAUAGCGGUGAAAUGCUUAGAUAUGACGAGGAACUCCGAUUGCGAAGGCAGCUGACGGGAGCGCAACUGACGCUUAAGCUCGAAGGUGCGGGUAUCAAACAGGAUUAGAUACCCUGGUAGUCCGCACAGUAAACGAUGGAUGCCCGCUGUUGGUACCUGGUAUCAGCGGCUAAGCGAAAGCAUUAAGCAUCCCACCUGGGGAGUACGCCGGCAACGGUG
RNAcentral lists this ribosomal RNA (539 nucleotides) under uncultured bacterium. RNAcentral's name for it is "bacterial SSU rRNA". It matches the Rfam family "Bacterial small subunit ribosomal RNA", at positions 356 to 896 of the family's 1533-position model. The record is from RNAcentral.